Molecule: long non-coding RNA, 555 nt
Organism: Rhineura floridana
Lineage: Eukaryota; Metazoa; Chordata; Lepidosauria; Squamata; Rhineuridae
Exons: 3
Source: RefSeq, a predicted model, not a curated record
UCCCGUCCAGCCCUGUUUGUGGGCUUUUGCUUUGCAUGCAGAAGGUAUCAGCUUCAAUCCCCAGCAGCUGGAGAGCCACUGCCAGUCAGUGUAGACUGUACUGGGUUACAUGGGUCCAGGGGUGUGACUCAGAAUCAAGCAGCUUCCUGUGUGCCUCUCUGGCUGGCCACAGUUGAAAAAAGAGAGGAAGGCUGGAAUGGAAUGUGAUAAUCCCAACAUUCUUUGAGUAUCACUCUUCAUCAGGGGAUGAACUGGAGAAUAUGGUAUUCUGAAGACUAUGGACUACACAAUGGAGGGCUUUCUACAACAUGAGGACCACCACUGAAAAAGUCUGCAUCCAUAUGUUCACAAGAUGGCAGUCCUUCAUUUGGAAAGACGGCCAGAAGACAAGUCUUCUGUGUGAAGGCUGUUCAGUCCAAGUCUAUUUUAAACAAGGAGGGCAGGAGCCCUGAAGUUGUCCAUCAACAGCAGGAGCAGCACCUGGUCAGCAAACUUAGCAGUUGCAUACGUCACCUGUGUCUCCCUCAAUAUGGUGAGAUGUAUUGUAUUGUUAAU